This 264-nucleotide ribosomal RNA is filed under the name uncultured bacterium. RNAcentral's name for it is "partial 16S ribosomal RNA". It matches the Rfam family "Bacterial small subunit ribosomal RNA", at positions 793 to 1055 of the family's 1533-position model. The record is from RNAcentral.
GUCCUAGCCGUAAACGAUGGGUGCUAGGUGUGGGGCGGCGAUUGAUUCGCCCUGUGCCGGAGCUAACGCAUUAAGCACCCCGCCUGGGGAGUACGGCCGCAAGGCUAAAACUCAAAGGAAUUGACGGGGGCCCGCACAAGCGGCGGAGCAUGUGGCUUAAUUCGAUGCGACGCGAAGAACCUUACCUGGGCUUGACAUGCGGGGCGAAGCCUAUGAAAGUAGGCGCUCCUUCUGGAGCCCGCACAGGUGCUGCAUGGCUGUCGU